ACACGGAGGAUCCGAGCGUUAUCCGGAUUUAUUGGGUUUAAAGGGUGCGCAGGCGGCCAUUUAAGUCAGCGGUUAAAUCGUGGGGCUCAACCCCAUUCUGCCGUUGAUACUGGGUGGCUUGAUUGCGGUCGAGGUUGGCGGAAUUCGUUGUGUAGCGGUGAAAUGCAUAGAUAUGACGAAGAACACCGAUUGCGUAGGCAGCUGACCAGACCGCAGAUGACGCUCAUGCACGAAAGUGCGGGGAUCGAACAGGAUUAGAUACCCUGGUAGUCCGCACAGUAAACGAUGAAUACCUGGUUUCGGCGAUAUAAUGUCGGAGGCAAAGCGAAAGCGAUAAGUAUUCCACCUGGGGAGUACGCCGGCAACGGUGAAACUCAAAUGAAUUGACGGGG
RNAcentral lists this ribosomal RNA (392 nucleotides) under uncultured bacterium. Its description in RNAcentral is "partial 16S ribosomal RNA". It matches the Rfam family "Bacterial small subunit ribosomal RNA", at positions 523 to 918 of the family's 1533-position model. The record is from RNAcentral.